This is a long non-coding RNA of Cebus imitator (Panamanian white-faced capuchin), 1597 nucleotides long. RefSeq lists it as uncharacterized. The record is from RefSeq and is a predicted model, not a curated record. The transcript has 2 exons. Lineage: Eukaryota; Metazoa; Chordata; Mammalia; Primates; Cebidae.
GGCUGCAGUGAGCACUUAUUGUGCCACUGUACUCCAACCUGAGAGUUGUUUUUUUUUUUUUUUUUUUUUUUUAAUAGUUUUGCUAGAUAACUCUCCAUUCCCACCCUCCCAAUAUGUCUGACACCACAGACUAUACUCAUUCCUUUGCUAUUUGCAAGUUUAUAGUAGCCUACCGCAACUGCCUCAUCCACAGAUAGAAUUUUCUUCAUUGUCUUUUGGAAUGCAUUUAACCAGUAAGCUUCUUUUAACCGAUAAAAACAUCUAGAUUUUGUAUUUUGCAUAACAUUGAUAUUCCUUUAUAGUUCAUAUUGGAUGAAAUGUCUUGAACACAAGCAAGUUAUCUUUUUUUUUUUCCAUUCUGUAUGCCAGACUUUUAAAGAAAGAAUCUGCGUUGAGUUCAACUUUGGCUGCUUGCUCUUUUGCUGUGAGUAGCAGUUUUCAAUCAAGUUUCCAGUGGCAGCACCAGUGGGGAAAGUCUGCAUUUUUUUAGGAUGACCGUGACCGACCUCACUCCUAGAGCUAUUGGAUUCCAGCCUGUUUUGGGGGAGUUUAUUAUUUUGGUUAUUACUUAAAGCACUUAAGUCUUCUGAAUCUCACUGAGUUUUUUGUUUUGACUUUUCAAAUGUUCUUCACAACUCUUUUGUAGGAAAUUUAAAAUGUUAUACCCAGAACUGUACAAGUACUUUACUAGUGAGGUUAAACUAAAUGUAACAAUGCAACAACAGAUCAAAAGCACACUAAGAUUUCACUUGUGUCAGUUUUGAAAACUCUAGACCUCUUACAGCAGCCACAGACUUGUUUCCUUUCAUGCAGUUCCCCUUAAAAAGCAAUUUACAGUUGUUUUUUUUUUCAAUCCUCCGUAGAUUCUGCUUAAUUCAGAAGAAAUUGCAUGCAAUCCCUGGCAUUGUUCCAGAAGUUAAUUUGUGAAUGAAUGAAAGCCAUGAUCUUUGCCUUGAUAAAAAAUUACCUAUACACUUGGAGAUGCCUGUGUGUCCCCUUCCCAGAGCUAACCACUCUUCUGGAUUUGGUGUUUACCAUUCUCAUCAUGCUAUUAUACUAUUACUGCAUAUGUUAAUAAACAGCAUAUAGCAUAAUUUGGCUCAUUUUAAAAUGUGGUAUCAUCCUAUGAAUAGUAUUACCCACUUGUAUUAUAUCUCACUAUUAUGCUCUUUAAAAUGUUUAUUGCCUUUAAAAAAAAAAAUAGCCUAAAUCCUAAAAGAAGCAGAAGUCUCCAGAGAGAAAAGAGAAGUAAAUGACGGUAAAUGUAAUCAUCUUGUAUGCCUCCAUUACUCUGUGAAACUCACAGCUAGCGAGGUGCCUGCCUUCUGCAAGUUGCUGACUCCUGCCAUCUCCUGCAGGUAGGCAGUUUGGGAGCCUGCCCCACCUGCUGCAGACAUCUCAGACUUGUUCUAUGGCUUAUGGCCAUGAAGACCCAACCAUAGCCUUCGUGAUAUUCUCCACUCCUGAUCUUCCAGCUUAAUAUCUGGACUAACAAGAAACUUAGGACUCUGACCAGAUAUACAAUUAACAUGUUUUGGAAGAAGCAGAGUAAUGCCCAGCCAACUCUUCCUCAACAUGGGGCAUAAACAUUCAUUCA